GAUCCUGGCUCAGGAUGAACGCUAGCUACAGGCUUAACGCAUGCAAGUCGAGGGGCAGCAUGGUCUUAGCUUGCUAAGGCUGAUGGCGACCGGCGCACGGGUGAGUAACACGUAUCCAACCUGCCGUCUACUCUUGCCAGCCUUCUGAAAGGAAGAUUAAUCCAGGAUGGGAUCAUGAGUUCACAUGUCCGCAUGAUUAAAGGUUUACCGGUGUAAGAUGGGG
Molecule: ribosomal RNA, 223 nt
Filed under: uncultured bacterium
Lineage: Bacteria
Description: partial 16S ribosomal RNA
Rfam family: Bacterial small subunit ribosomal RNA
Source: RNAcentral